CCUACGGGUGGCAGCAGUGAGGAAUAUUGGUCAAUGGGCUUACGCCUGAACCAGCCAAGUCGCGUGAGGGAAGACUGCCCUAUGGGUUGUAAACUUCUUUUGUCAGGGAGCAAUUGAGUCCACGUGUGGGCUUAGCGAGAGUACCUGAAGAAAAAGCAUCGGCUAACUCCGUGCCAGCAGCCGCGGUAAUACGGAGGAUGCGAGCGUUAUCCGGAUUUAUUGGGUUUAAAGGGUGCGUAGGCGGAAUAUCAAGUCAGCGGUAAAAAUUCGGGGCUCAACCCCGUCGUGCCGUUGAAACUGAUGUUCUUGAGUGGGCGAGAAGUAUGCGGAAUGCGUGGUGUAGCGGUGAAAUGCAUAGAUAUCACGCAGAACUCCGAUUGCGAAGGCAGCAUACCGGCGCCCAACUGACGCUGAAGCACGAAAGCGUGGGUAUCGAACAGGAGUAGAUACCCGGGUAGUC
RNAcentral lists this ribosomal RNA (460 nucleotides) under uncultured bacterium. RNAcentral's name for it is "partial 16S ribosomal RNA". It matches the Rfam family "Bacterial small subunit ribosomal RNA", at positions 338 to 795 of the family's 1533-position model. The record is from RNAcentral.